RNAcentral lists this ribosomal RNA (444 nucleotides) under uncultured Barnesiella sp. RNAcentral describes it as "bacterial SSU rRNA". It matches the Rfam family "Bacterial small subunit ribosomal RNA", at positions 352 to 794 of the family's 1533-position model. Lineage: Bacteria; Pseudomonadati; Bacteroidota; Bacteroidia; Bacteroidales; Barnesiellaceae. The record is from RNAcentral.
UGAGGGAAUAUUUGGGUCAAUGGGGCGAGAGCCUGAACCAGCCAAGUCGCGUGAGGGAAGAAGGUCCUACGGAUUGUAAACCUCUUUUGCCGGGGAGCAAAGGGGCCAUUUAUGGCAGGAUGAGCGUACCCGGAGAAAAAGCAUCGGCUAACUCCGUGCCAGCAGCCGCGGUAAUACGGAGGAUGCGAGCGUUAUCCGGAUUUAUUGGGUUUAAAGGGUGCGUAGGCGGACCGUUAAGUCAGUGGUAAAAUUGAGAGGCUCAACCUCUUCCGGCCAUUGAAACUGGCGGACUUGAGUGAGCGAGAAGUAUGCGGAAUGCGUGGUGUAGCGGUGAAAUGCAUAGAUAUCACGCAGAACUCCGAUUGCGAAGGCAGCAUACCGGCGCUCAACUGACGCUGAGGCACGAAAGCGUGGGGAUCAAACAGGAUUAGAUACCCUGGUAGU